This is a non-coding RNA of Actinomortierella wolfii, 74 nucleotides long. NCBI's taxonomy places the organism in Eukaryota, Fungi, Mortierellomycota, Mortierellomycetes, Mortierellales, Mortierellaceae. The record is from the annotation of a GenBank genome assembly.
GUUCCGUUAGCACAGUUGGUAGUUGCGCGAGUCUCAUAAUCUCGAGGUCGUGAGUUCGAGCCUCACACGGAGCA